Non-coding RNA from Camellia sinensis, 649 nucleotides. NCBI's taxonomy places the organism in Eukaryota, Viridiplantae, Streptophyta, Magnoliopsida, Ericales, Theaceae. The record is from RefSeq and is a predicted model, not a curated record.
UCAAAAUCUCAUCAGUAGGGUUUAAGGGCUACGAAACCACAUAAGUUGAAAACAAAUCACAAAAAACCACGGCAAACGCUUUCCAAUAUCACAAGCCGCAACAACCCUCUCUGUCUCUGUCUCUGUCUCUGUCUCUGUCUCUCUCUCUCUCUGUUUACAGAUUGCAACUGCGAUGUUGCCGAGAUGGAGCAGAGCUGUGACUUAUCUCUCUAGGGUUUCAUCACACAAGAACAACAUGGUAACUAGAAGAGAUUUUCAUGGUUUCUCAUGCCGAAGCUAUUCCAAAGUCGCCGCUGCCACUGCCACCGAGGUGCCGAUCGCAGCCGAUUCUGCUGAGAAAGGUUAUGUGAGUACACCCGAGAAAGUUAUUGUCAGCCUGGUAAACCUAAACAAAUAACUUGGCUUAUGUGGUAUGUAUUGCUGUUUUUAGAAGUAUAAUUUAAUUGCAACCUUACCAAUAAGCUAUUUUGUGGUCUGAUGGUGAGAUUUUUUUACUGAAGGUUGUGUUAUCAAGUCUAUGUUAUGUUCUCUGGUAAUACCCAAUUGAUGUUAGAAAGAAAAUAAAACUCUCAUGCACUAUCUGACUCUUCUUGUCAUCUACAUUAGAUGAUAUACUGUUGUGUGCUGUUCAAUUUUCUAGUGCUGAAUA